AUACGAAAGGUGCAAGCGUUGUUCGGAUUUACUGGGCGUAAAGAGAGUGUAGGUUGUUUAUUAAGUCGGAUGUGAAAUCCCGGGGCUCAACCUCGGAACUGCAUUCGAUACUGGUAGACUAGAGUUCGGGAGGGGUAAGCGGAAUUCCGUGUGUAGCAGUGAAAUGCGUAGAUAUACGGAGGAACACCUGAGGCGAAGGCGGCUUACGGGACCGAUACUGACACUGAGACUCGAAAGCGCGGGUAGCAAACAGGAUUAGAAACCCUAGUAGUCC
Molecule: ribosomal RNA, 274 nt
Filed under: uncultured bacterium
Lineage: Bacteria
Description: partial 16S ribosomal RNA
Rfam family: Bacterial small subunit ribosomal RNA
Source: RNAcentral